This 459-nucleotide ribosomal RNA is filed under the name Nanna fasciata. Its description in RNAcentral is "partial 16S ribosomal RNA". It matches the Rfam family "Bacterial large subunit ribosomal RNA", at positions 1922 to 2591 of the family's 2925-position model. The record is from RNAcentral. Lineage: Eukaryota; Metazoa; Arthropoda; Insecta; Diptera; Scathophagidae.
UUUAAAUGGCCGCAGUAUACUAACUGUGCAAAGGUAGCAUAAUCAUUAGUCUUUUAAUUGUAGGCUGGUAUGAAUGGUUGGACGAGAUAUUAACUGUUUCAUAAAAAUUUUUAUUAGAAUUUUAUUUUUUAGUUAAAAAGCUAAAAUUUAUUUAAAAGACGAGAAGACCCUAUAAAUCUUUAUAUUUACAUUAUUAUAAUUUUAUGGAUUAUUUUUGUUAUGAUAAUAAUAAUAUUUUAUUGGGGUGAUAUUAAAAUUUAAUAAACUUUUAAUUUUUAAAAUCAUUAAUUUAUGAAUAAUUGAUCCGUUAUUAACGAUUAAAAAAAUAAGUUACUUUAGGGAUAACAGCGUAAUUUUUUUGGAGAGUUCUUAUCGAUAAAAAAGAUUGCGACCUCGAUGUUGGAUUAAGAUAUAAUUUUAGGUGUAGUCGCUUAAAUUUUAAGUCUGUUCGACUUUUAA